CUCCGGCCUUCGGCCGC
This 17-nucleotide unclassified non-coding RNA is filed under the name Goura cristata (Western crowned-pigeon). RNAcentral describes it as "partial 3' external transcribed spacer". The record is from RNAcentral. Lineage: Eukaryota; Metazoa; Chordata; Aves; Columbiformes; Columbidae. RNAcentral also lists the same sequence under 2 other names.